GAUGAACGCUGGCGGCGUGCCUAAUACAUGCAAGUCGAGCGAACGGACCAUAAUCUUGCUUUUCUGAUUUUAGCGGCUGACGUGUGUUUAACACUUGUAUAACCUACCUAUAUUUCUUGUAUAACUUCGUGAAACCGUAUCUAAUACCGGAUAAUAUUUUUAACCUCAUGUUUCAUAAUUUAAUUACGUUCUUUCUGUCUCUUAUAGAUUUUUCCGCGCUGCAUUAUCUAGUUGGUAAGGUAACGGCUUACCAAGGCAACGAUGCAUAGCCGACCUGAGAGGGUGAUCGGAGAAACUGGAACUGAGACACGGAACAGACUACUACGGGAGGCAGCAGUAGGGAAUAUUACGCAAUGGGCGAAAGCAUGACGGAGCAACGCAGAGUGAGUGAAGAAGGUCUUAGGAUCGUAAAAAUCUGUUAUUAGGGAAGAAAAAAUGUGUAAGUAAAUGUGCACAGAAUGACGGUAACAAAUCAGAAAGCAACGGCUAACUACGUG
Molecule: ribosomal RNA, 497 nt
Filed under: uncultured bacterium
Lineage: Bacteria
Description: partial 16S ribosomal RNA
Rfam family: Bacterial small subunit ribosomal RNA
Source: RNAcentral